This 239-nucleotide ribosomal RNA is filed under the name uncultured bacterium. Its description in RNAcentral is "partial 16S ribosomal RNA". It matches the Rfam family "Bacterial small subunit ribosomal RNA", at positions 95 to 334 of the family's 1533-position model. The record is from RNAcentral.
CCGGCGCACGGGUGAGUAACGCGUAUACAAUUUACCUUAUACUGAGGGAUAGCCCAGAGAAAUUUGGAUUAAUACUUCAUGGUAUAUAGAUAUCGCAUGGUAUUUAUAUUAAAGAUUUAUUGGUAUAAGAUGAGUAUGCGUCCUAUUAGUUAGUUGGUAAGGUAAUGGCUUACCAAGACAUCGAUAGGUAGGGGCCCUGAGAGGGGGAUCCCCCACACUGGUACUGAGACACGGACCAG